GCCGAGCUGAGUUACGCCAGCUUGUGACCUAAGUGGGGGCACCAGGGUGAUGGAACAGUUCUUUGGCUUUGCUGGGUUGGGCUGUGGCUGUAAUAUGUUGGCCUGUCCGCUCCAAGUUGAGAGUUAAAUCAUGGGACUUAGGCGAAAGCAUAGGUCUCCUGGUUUAUAGAGUGGAGGGCAAUGCGUGAGGCUGGUUUCACAGAGCAGCGAAUACUUCCCACUCCCGGCAGUGGAAGGAUAACAGGCUGCUGCAACCAUAGUCCAUAAUGGCCUGGUGAGUCUAGAUGCUUGGACCAUCACUUUU
Molecule: non-coding RNA, 304 nt
Organism: Glycine soja
Lineage: Eukaryota; Viridiplantae; Streptophyta; Magnoliopsida; Fabales; Fabaceae
Source: Rfam